This 253-nucleotide ribosomal RNA is filed under the name uncultured bacterium. RNAcentral's name for it is "partial 16S ribosomal RNA". It matches the Rfam family "Bacterial small subunit ribosomal RNA", at positions 524 to 776 of the family's 1533-position model. The record is from RNAcentral.
UACGUAGGGGGCAAGCGUUGUCCGGAUUCAUUGGGCGUAAAGAGCGUGUAGGCGGCCAGGUAGGUCGGUUGUGAAAACUGGAGGCUCAACCUUCAGAGGUCGACCGAAACCAUCUGGCUAGAGUCCGGGAGAGGAGAGUGGAAUUCCUGGUGUAGCGGUGAAAUGCGCAGAUAUCAGGAAGAACACCCGUGGCGAAAGCGGCUCUCUGGACGGAUACUGACGCUGAUACGCGAAAGCGUGGGGAGCAAACAGG